Molecule: ribosomal RNA, 506 nt
Filed under: uncultured bacterium
Lineage: Bacteria
Description: partial 16S ribosomal RNA
Rfam family: Bacterial small subunit ribosomal RNA
Source: RNAcentral
AGUGAACGCUGGCGGUAGGCCUAACACAUGCAAGUCGAACGGCAGCACAGGAGAGCUUGCUCUCUGGGUGGCGAGUGGCGGACGGGUGAGGAAUACAUCGGAAUCUACUUUUUCGUGGGGGAUAACGUAGGGAAACUUACGCUAAUACCGCAUACGACCUACGGGUGAAAGCAGGGGAUCUUCGGACCUUGCGCGAUUGAAUGAGCCGAGGUCGGAUUAGAUAGGUGGCGGGGUAAAGGCCCAACAAGGCGACGACCCGUAGCUGGUCUGAGAGGAUGCUCAACCACACUGGAACUGAGACACGGUCCAGACUCCUACGGGAGGCAGCAGUGGGGAAUAUUGGACAAUGGGCGCAAGCCUGAUCCAGCCAUACCGCGUGGGUGAAGAAGGCCUUCGGGUUGUAAAGCCCUUUUGUUGGGAAAGAAAUCCAGCUGGUUAAUACCCGGUUGGGAUGACGGUACCCAAAGAAUAAGCACCGGCUAACUUCGUGCCAGCAGCCGCAGUAA